ACCACUAGAAUCCGCUCUUUUACCAACCGUUUACACCGACCGCCACUUAUGCGGUUGUUAUUAAUCUAAACACCGAUCGUUUUUAUUUGGGACGUUAUUUAGCGUUUGUUUUCUAAAUUCACCGACCGCUUUUAUGUUAGACGCUAAUUACCAACCGAAAUAACGACUGUUUCUAUUAGUCGUUGGUGAAUACCGAUCGCUGAUUAAGAAUACCGACUGUUUAGCGGUCGGUAAAGUCCUAUUAGCAAUUUCAGAUUUUUAACCUCCCACGUUUUCCUUUUCACUCUACCAGUAGUUAAAAAUAACCCUAACGUUUGCGGAGAAACCGACACCUCCCACUCCUCUAUCAUCAUCAUCUUCACGCCUCCCACUGCCGUCGCCGGUUUCUACUUCUCUAUCAUUAUCAUCUUCACGCCUCCCACUGCCGUCGCCGGUUUCUACUUCUCUAUCAUCAUCAUCAGCUUUCACCGUCGUCGCGCCGCACUACUUUUCACCGUCGUCUGCCGCUCGCUUUGUAUCGCCGGCUUCUUCUCCAUCAUCAUCAUCAGGAAAAUUGUUGACGAACCCCCAUCGGAGCCAUCAAAUCCUUAUCAAGACAUGAUUGUUGAUGCUCUUGGACAUAAUGAAGAAAAUCCAAACAAUGAGCAAAUAAAUAAUGUCGAAGAGGAGCUAAAUGACGAAGCUAAGAAAUUUUUUGAGCUCCUUAAAGCUGUCGAUAGCCCGUUGUACGAAGGGAGCAAAGUAUCUGUCUUGGAGAUGGCUUCAAGAAUAAUAUCUUUGAAGUGUGAGUACAAUUUACCACACAGGUGUGUUGAUGGAUUUGCAUCUUUAUUGAAUAAAGUGAUUCCAAAUAACAACCAUAUGAGUACAACGUUCUAUGAUACUAAGAAAGUUCUUAAAGGCUUACAACUCCCACAUGAGAAGAUACAUGCAUGUCGUAACGGUUGUAUGGUAUUUUGGAAAGGCGAUGCACAUUUAAUGAAGUGUAGUGUAUGUGAGUGUGAUCGCUACAAGAAGACUCCUAAAGGCAAGCUUAUUCCAGAAAAGGUCCUAACAUAGUUUCCUAUCAAACCCCGAUUGCAAAGGCUUUAUGCGACAAAGAAUAUUUCAGAGAAAAUAAUAUGGCAUGCCAAAAAGCCUUGUGUUUCGGGUACUAUGGAACAUCCUAGUGAUAGUGAGGCGUGGAAGCAUUUUGAUACCACUUUUCCUGAUUUUGCCUCUGAGACACGUAAUGUUCGAUUAGGUUUGUGCACUGAUGGCUUUUCAACCUUUGGUAAGUUCGGAGGACAAUAUUCUUGUUGGCCAAUAAUUCUUACUCCAUAUAAUUUGCCUCCAUCAAUGUGUAUGAAAAAGCCUUUCAUGUUCC
Beta vulgaris subsp. vulgaris (sugar beet) is the source of this 1366-nucleotide long non-coding RNA. RefSeq lists it as uncharacterized. The record is from RefSeq and is a predicted model, not a curated record. The transcript is spliced from 3 exons. Lineage: Eukaryota; Viridiplantae; Streptophyta; Magnoliopsida; Caryophyllales; Amaranthaceae.